RNAcentral lists this ribosomal RNA (365 nucleotides) under uncultured bacterium. RNAcentral describes it as "bacterial SSU rRNA". It matches the Rfam family "Bacterial small subunit ribosomal RNA", at positions 97 to 477 of the family's 1533-position model. The record is from RNAcentral.
GGCGAACGGGUGAGUAACACGUGGGUGAUCUGCCCUGCACUUCGGGAUAAGCCUGGGAAACUGGGUCUAAUACCGGAUAGGAGCCAUUUUUAGUGUGAUGGUUGGAAAGUUUUUUCGGUGUAGGAUGAGCUCGCGGCCUAUCAGCUUGUUGGUGGGGUAAUGGCCUACCAAGGCGGCGACGGGUAGCCGGCCUGAGAGGGUGGACGGCCACAUUGGGACUGAGAUACGGCCCAGACUCCUACGGGAGGCAGCAGUGGGGAAUAUUGCACAAUGGGCGCAAGCCUGAUGCAGCGACGCCGCGUGGGGGAUGACGGCCUUCGGGUUGUAAACUCCUUUCGCUAGGGACGAAGCUUUUUGUGACGGUA